CAAUCUAUAUAUACACUACUGGUCGAUGACAUGUGAGAGAGGAACAAACUGAUAAUGAAGAAAACAACACAAGCCUUUCUUCUUCUAAGUUUGGUUCUUAUACUAGGUCUGUCCUUUCAGGUUCGUGUCACCGAGGCUAGAUUCCGCCACCUAGGUGAGGAUCGGAUACUAGCAGAACCAUCCCCACCAUGUGGAGCUUCUCCUAGGAGAAGUCAAGUUACGGGACUAAUGAACAAACACUGCAAAAGAGUUCGAAGACCUCCUCGUGGUCGUGGACAUUAGUAGUGCUCUCCGGCCAAGAGGUAGCAACGUUGAUGAGUAUUAAAUUUAUAAGCAACCAGAAAUGUCCAGAAUAAAAUUCGUCCUCAAUGUUUAAGUUUAGUAUUAACUAUAAUCAUACCAAAUUAUUGUUUGCACGCUAUGCCAAAAGAUUAUAGCUUAAUCGAGACCCUUUAAUUUCUUUAAUUUAGUAUUAUCAUAUCAUCUUCUUCGCU
Long non-coding RNA from Eutrema salsugineum, 494 nucleotides. RefSeq lists it as uncharacterized. Lineage: Eukaryota; Viridiplantae; Streptophyta; Magnoliopsida; Brassicales; Brassicaceae. The record is from RefSeq and is a predicted model, not a curated record. The transcript has 2 exons.